UAACUAUAACGGGCCUAAGGUAGCAAAUUUCCUUGUCGUCUUAAUAACGACCUGCAUGAAACAUAGAACGAUUUGAUAGCUGUCUUGCACACACAUCAUGGUAAAAUAUUCAUCAGUACAAAUAAUAUGCUGCUGACACUAAAGGACAAAAAGACCCUUUGAAGCUUUAUAGGGAUAAAACUCAGCUUUAAAUCAACAAACAAUGAAAUCCAUCUUGUUGCUUCUCCGCUUUUUAAAUUGCUAAAGCCUUACAAGAUUUACAACAUCAAGACCACUGUUUAAUUGGGGCGAUAAAAAGGUACGUGAGCUGGGUUCAAUACG
This 321-nucleotide ribosomal RNA is filed under the name Symbiodinium sp. clade B. Its description in RNAcentral is "partial 23S ribosomal RNA". It matches the Rfam family "Bacterial large subunit ribosomal RNA", at positions 1937 to 2618 of the family's 2925-position model. The record is from RNAcentral. Lineage: Eukaryota; Dinophyceae; Suessiales; Symbiodiniaceae.